CAAAGGUUGACCUCGGAUCAGGUAGGAAUACCCGCUGAACUUAAGCAUACAA
RNAcentral lists this ribosomal RNA (52 nucleotides) under Colletotrichum gloeosporioides. Its description in RNAcentral is "partial 28S ribosomal RNA". The record is from RNAcentral. Lineage: Eukaryota; Fungi; Ascomycota; Sordariomycetes; Glomerellales; Glomerellaceae.